RNAcentral lists this small nuclear RNA (35 nucleotides) under Cervus elaphus hippelaphus. The record is from RNAcentral. Lineage: Eukaryota; Metazoa; Chordata; Mammalia; Artiodactyla; Cervidae.
AUCGCUUCUUGGCCUUUUGGCUAAGAUCAAGUCUA